This 351-nucleotide ribosomal RNA is filed under the name uncultured bacterium. RNAcentral describes it as "bacterial SSU rRNA". It matches the Rfam family "Bacterial small subunit ribosomal RNA", at positions 8 to 353 of the family's 1533-position model. The record is from RNAcentral.
AGAGUUUGAUCCUGGCUCAGGAUGAACGCUAGCUACAGGCGUUAACACAUGCAAGUCGAGGGGUCAGCAUGACCUAGCAAUAGGUUGAUGGCGACCGGCGCACGGGUGAGUAACACGUAUCCAACCUACCGGUUAUUCCGGGAUAGCCUUUCGAAAGAAAGAUUAAUACCGGAUAGUAUAACGAGAAGGCAUCUUUUUGUUAUUAAAGAAUUUCGAUAACCGAUGGGGAUGCGUUCCAUUAGUUUGUUGGCGGGGUAACGGCCCACCAAGACAUCGAUGGAUAGGGGUUCUGAGAGGAAGGUCCCCCACAUUGGAACUGAGACACGGUCCAAACUCCUACGGGAGGCAGCA